Molecule: ribosomal RNA, 484 nt
Filed under: uncultured bacterium
Lineage: Bacteria
Description: partial 16S ribosomal RNA
Rfam family: Bacterial small subunit ribosomal RNA
Source: RNAcentral
AUUGAACGCUGGCGGCAUGCUUUACACAUGCAAGUCGAACGGCAGCGCGGGCUUCGGCCUGGCGGCGAGUGGCGAACGGGUGAGUAAUGCAUCGGAACGUGCCCAGUAGUGGGGGAUAGCCCGGCGAAAGCCGGAUUAAUACCGCAUACGACCUGAGGGUGAAAGCGGGGGACCGAAAGGCCUCGCGCUAUUGGAGCGGCCGAUGUCGGAUUAGCUAGUUGGUGGGGUAAAGGCUUACCAAGGCGACGAUCCGUAGCUGGUCGGAGAGGACGACCAGCCACACUGGGACUGGGACACGGCCCAGACGACUACGGGAGGCAGCAGUGGGGAAUUUUGGACAAUGGGGGCGACCCUGGUCCAGCCAUGCCGCGUGCGGGAAGAAGGCCUUGGGGUUGUAAACCGCUUUUGUUCGGGAAGAAAUCCUCUGGGCUAAUACCCCGGGGGGAUGACGGUACCGGAAGAAUAAGCACCGGCUAACUACGUG